AGACGUUAGCGGCGGACGGGUGAGUAACACGUGGAUAACCUACCUAUAAGACUGGGAUAACUUCGGGAAACCGGAGCUAAUACCGGAUAAUAUAUUGAACCGCAUGGUUCAAUAGUGAAAGACGGUUUUGCUGUCACUUAUAGAUGGAUCCGCGCCGCAUUAGCUAGUUGGUAAGGUAACGGCUUACCAAGGCAACGAUGCGUAGCCGACCUGAGAGGGUGAUCGGCCACACUGGAACUGAGACACGGUCCAGACUCCUACGGGAGGCAGCAGUAGGGAAUCUUCCGCAAUGGGCGAAAGCCUGACGGAGCAACGCCGCGUGAGUGAUGAAGGUCUUCGGAUCGUAAAACUCUGUUAUUAGGGAAGAACAAAUGUGUAAGUAACUAUGCACAUCUUGACGGUACCUAAUCAGAAAGCCACGGCUAACUACGUGCCAGCAGCCGCGGUAAUACGUAGGUGGCAAGCGUUAUCCGGAAUUAUUGGGCGUAAAGCGCGCGUAGGCGGUUUUUUAAGUCUGAUGUGAAAGCCCACGGCUCAACCGUGGAGGGUCAUUGGAAACUGGAAAACUUGAGUGCAGAAGAGGAAAGUGGAAUUCCAUGUGUAGCGGUGAAAUGCGCAGAGAUAUGGAGGAACACCAGUGGCGAAGGCGACUUUCUGGUCUGUAACUGACGCUGAUGUGCGAAAGCGUGGGGAUCAAACAGGAUUAGAUACCCUGGUAGUCCACGCCGUAAACGAUGAGUGCUAAGUGUUAGGGGGUUUCCGCCCCUUAGUGCUGCAGCUAACGCAUUAAGCACUCCGCCUGGG
RNAcentral lists this ribosomal RNA (804 nucleotides) under Staphylococcus sp. 85. RNAcentral's name for it is "bacterial SSU rRNA". It matches the Rfam family "Bacterial small subunit ribosomal RNA", at positions 87 to 877 of the family's 1533-position model. Lineage: Bacteria; Bacillati; Bacillota; Bacilli; Caryophanales; Staphylococcaceae. The record is from RNAcentral.